This 70-nucleotide transfer RNA is filed under the name Dipodomys ordii (Ord's kangaroo rat). It matches the Rfam family "tRNA". From Rfam's summary of the family: Transfer RNA (tRNA) molecules are approximately 80 nucleotides in length. The record is from Rfam by way of RNAcentral. Lineage: Eukaryota; Metazoa; Chordata; Mammalia; Rodentia; Heteromyidae.
GUGGCUGGCUCAGUGGUAGAGUGCUUGCCUUGCAUGCAUGAGGCCCUGGGUUUGAUUCCUCAGUACCACA